Molecule: ribosomal RNA, 253 nt
Filed under: uncultured bacterium
Lineage: Bacteria
Description: partial 16S ribosomal RNA
Rfam family: Bacterial small subunit ribosomal RNA
Source: RNAcentral
GACGGAGGAUGCAAGUGUUAUCCGGAAUCACUGGGCGUAAAGCGUCUGUAGGUGGUUUAAAAAGUCUACUGUUAAAAAUUGAAGCUUAACUUCAAAGAUGCCGUAGAAACUUUUAAACUCGAGGAUGGUAGGGGUAGAGGGAAUUUCCAGUGGAGCGGUGACAUGCGUAGAUCUUGGAAAGACCACCAAUGGCGAAGGCACUCUACUGGGCCAUUACUGACACUAAGAGACGAAAGCUAGGGGAGCAAAUGGG